This 67-nucleotide transfer RNA is filed under the name Pentatoma semiannulata. RNAcentral describes it as "tRNA-His". The record is from RNAcentral. Lineage: Eukaryota; Metazoa; Arthropoda; Insecta; Hemiptera; Pentatomidae.
AUUUAUAAUAGUUUAAUUCAGAAUAAUAAUCUGUGGUGUUAUUGGUGAAAUUUUAUUUCUUUAAAUC